RNAcentral lists this ribosomal RNA (367 nucleotides) under uncultured Anaeromyxobacter sp. RNAcentral's name for it is "bacterial SSU rRNA". It matches the Rfam family "Bacterial small subunit ribosomal RNA", at positions 95 to 447 of the family's 1533-position model. Lineage: Bacteria; Pseudomonadati; Myxococcota; Myxococcia; Myxococcales; Anaeromyxobacteraceae. The record is from RNAcentral.
GCGGCGCACGGGUGCGUAACACGUGGGUAAUCUGCCCUGGAGUCCGGAAUAACUCGCCGAAAGGCGUGCUAAUGCCGGAUGAGACCACGGGAGCCUCGGCUCCUGCGGAAAAAGAUGGCCUCUGUACACAAGCUAUCACUCCAGGAUGAGCCCGCGGCCCAUCAGCUAGUUGGCGGGGUAAUGGCCCACCAAGGCAACGACGGGUAGCUGGUCUGAGAGGACGAUCAGCCACACUGGAACUGAGACACGGUCCAGACUCCUACGGGAGGCAGCAGUGGGAAUCUUGCGCAAUGGGCGAAAGCCUGACGCAGCAACGCCGCGUGUGUGAUGAAGGUCUUCGGAUCGUAAAGCACUGUCGCGAGGGACG